AAGGCCUACGGGAGGCAGCAGUGGGGAAUAUUGCACAAUGGGGGAAACCCUGAUGCAGCAACGCCGCGUGAGUGAAGAAGUCAUUCGUGAUGUAAAGCUCUAUCAGCAGGGAAGAAAAUGACGGUACCUGAGUAAGAAGCCCCGGCUAACUACGUGCCAGCAGCCGCGGUAAUACGUAGGGAGCAAGCGUUGUCCGGAAUUACUGGGCGUAAAGGGCGCGUAGGUGGGCGCUUAAGUCAGGUGUGAAAGCUCCGGGCUCAACCUGGAGACUGCACUUGAAACUGGGUGUCUUGAGGGCAGGAGAG
RNAcentral lists this ribosomal RNA (305 nucleotides) under uncultured bacterium. Its description in RNAcentral is "bacterial SSU rRNA". It matches the Rfam family "Bacterial small subunit ribosomal RNA", at positions 334 to 656 of the family's 1533-position model. The record is from RNAcentral.